CUCUUCUGCGGGUACGUCAUUGCUGCGGUUAUUAACCACAACACCUUCCUCCCCGCUGAAAGUACUUUACAACCCGAAGGCCUUCUUCAUACACGCGGCAUGGCUGCAUCAGGCUUGCGCCCAUUGUGCAAUAUUCCCCACUGCUGCCUCCCGUAGGA
This 158-nucleotide ribosomal RNA is filed under the name uncultured bacterium. Its description in RNAcentral is "partial 16S ribosomal RNA". The record is from RNAcentral.